Molecule: unclassified non-coding RNA, 2680 nt
Filed under: Hevea brasiliensis (rubber tree)
Lineage: Eukaryota; Viridiplantae; Streptophyta; Magnoliopsida; Malpighiales; Euphorbiaceae
Source: RNAcentral
UUAUUAAAUUAAAUAUAUAGUAAAUAUUAAAAUUAUAAUGCCAUAGAAAAUUAAAAUGAUCAUUUUAAUAUUAUAUUUGAAUAAAAAUAAAAUUAAUAGAAUGCGUUUUAAUGAUAAUUUUCACUCAUAUAUGUAAUUUAAUUGUGGUGUAACAAAAUAAAAAUAAAUAAUGAAAUAAAUAUUAAUUACAUAUAAAAAAUUAUAUAAAUUCAAUUUAUAGUGCAUAUAUAAUUUAUUUUUAUGAUUUUUUUUAGUUCUUGCACCUUGCCUCGCUGCACAUGCCUUGUGCCUAGGCUCCAGAGCCCCUGAUGCCUUGGUGCAUCUUGAGCCAUUAAUAACUAUGUUUCAAUGACUUAAUAGGUUUUGUGGCAUGACAGAUUAUUUCCAGACACUGGUGGGCUGUCUUGUUUUGUCCACGCUGUUGCCUAUCAUUGAAUUGAGUUUUGAUGUUAUCCUAUAUAUACGUUUGUGGUGCUACAGAAUGUGAUUCAUCUGAUAUAAUUAUGAGAGGCGAGUUCAUCGGAUAGUUGAUCAUGUUGAGUAUGCCUAUUAUUAUGGUGUGAAGAUAUUGUAUUGUAUUGCUGCAUAUUGUAUUAUGGAUGCUCCUCAUGCAUGUAUGCAUCUUCUUGUUGUUACUCCUGCUAUAUGAUAAAUUUUGCUACAGAAUAUGAAUUUAAUUCAUAUAACAAGAAAAUAUGAGAAUGAUCUUUGGGACAAUGAAUUAUGCUUUCUUUAUUGAUCACAAAUUAAGGAUUUCAUGCUUUAAAUGCUGAUGCAACUCAACAGAACAGCGACAACCACCACCCCCAACCCCCCGCCCCAAUUCCUCCUCUCUUUCUUUCUGGGAUCAAGGAUUUGCUAAGUGUCGGGGCUUUUGUAGUUUACUAUCAUUAAUAUUUCUUGUUGUUUUGUAUCUGUUUUCAGAAUUUCAGCUGUGUAUAUUGAAACAAGAGAGAUCUUUUGUGAGAAAUGUGACAUAGGAUUAGAAAUCUGAUUUGAAGGAAUAAGCCCUAAUUGGCAAAUGAUUCUACCAAUUCCCAAGUUGAGUAAGGAGCUUUAGUUUUUGAACAUCUGAAUUAAAUUUUUGAUUCAUUUGGGAAAACAGAAUUUAGAAGUGAAACUCUUGCUAUUUUAAGUUGAGAUAAUAAUUUUGAUAUCAAUGCUCUGCUCUCAAUUAGUUGAUGUAUCUUAGUAGUUCUUUAUCUGAGCAAAUAUUCUUUUGACCUGAAUAAUCUUGUUACCUUGUGGUGAAAUAGUUUGUUUUUUUCUUUGAUCUGUCAAAAUGUAAACUUCUCUGUUAACUAGGCGGAUACAUUGUUUCUUAACUGCACUAUUUCUAAGCCUCGAAAUAUUGUAGAGUAGGGACUAGGGAGGUAUGAAACAAAUUAUUGAUUUUACCAUGUAUGGUGGUACUGAUAACUCUUCUAUGCCUCUUCGUCCUUCACUUCUUUACAGAGACAGAAAUUGUCUUUACUUAUAAUUUAAUGGACCGCUUGUUGGAAAUUUAUCCUAUUGCAAAUAUGGUGGAUUUCAUUCUUCUCUCUUUUUUUUUUGGUGUCAAUUUAUUUGUCACUUAUCCCAAAAAAAUCUGUGCAAUGAACGUGCUUGUUGAUUUUUUAAACAUACUAAUUCAAUUUAGCAAAUCAGGCAUAUGAGAAAUGCUUUCAGAAUCUCCACUAUGUAGAACGGCACGAGGAGCACACAAUUGCCCAUGCAAUACAAACAGAAUAUAAGAAAACCAAGGUAUUUUGAUUUCUUUUCUAUUCCUCCAUCUCCAUGGUUCUUUAUGAUCUCUCUCUCUCUCUCUUUACAUAUAUAAUGCAUAUGUGUAACACUGCACCGCGCCCCCCCCCCCUCCCUUUCUCUCUCUCUCCCCCCUCUUCUUUCUUGUUUUUGGUGAUAAGUACACAUAUCUUCCCCCUUCCCUUCAAUUUCUCUUUGUCUAUUCCCCUAGGUGUAUCUUUGGCCAGCCUCAACUAGAACAGGUAUGAAAGCUGGAAGAAUUGUUCAAACUGUUUUGAAUUUAGCUGGUUUCAAAAAUGUCAAAUCGAAGGUAAUGGGCUUAUGGUUUGAAUCUACAUCUCACUAAUAUAGUUACUGUAAGCUUGAGUUUUUGUUGAAAGCUCAACUCUUUUGUCAGGUUGUUGGCUCGAGGAAUCCUCAUAACACUGUUAAGGCUCUUUUUAAAGCUUUAAAUGCUAUUGAAACUCCAAAAGAUGUUCAAGAGAAAUUUGGCAGGACAGUUGUUGAGAAGUACUUGGUGUGAUCGCACCAUUUUUGUUGGAUUUGAGGUACUCCAGAGAGAAAUGGAAUUUUGUUGUUUUCGGGUCACUUAUCCUUGAACAUGGUAGGCAUAUCUGCCACUAUCAUUACUACUGACUCAAAUUUUUUGCUUCUCUCAAUCUCCUCAAGAAAGAACUGCUUUAGUCAUAAACUAGUGAGGUGUCUGAGCGACGCUCCAUGUGAAGUAUAGAAUAAUUAUGAUUGAUAAUAAUUUUUUUUUGGUUCUAUAUCUGUAUUAUAAUACAUUAAAACAGAAUGAAUUUGGGCAGUACUUUCAAUAGUAAUUUGUCUGUUUUGUCCCUUAAUUUGCAUGUUAUGAACAGUUCUUGAAUAGCUGAUGUAGCCCUUGAUGAUUUCCCUUUUUUUGCCUUUCAUUUGGUUUGCAUUUUUGGCCCAC